This 379-nucleotide transfer-messenger RNA is filed under the name Acidimicrobiaceae bacterium. It matches the Rfam family "transfer-messenger RNA". From Rfam's summary of the family: Bacterial tmRNA, also known as 10Sa RNA or SsrA, is named for its dual tRNA and mRNA-like properties. RNAcentral also lists the same sequence under 1 other name. The record is from RNAcentral. Lineage: Bacteria; Bacillati; Actinomycetota; Acidimicrobiia; Acidimicrobiales; Acidimicrobiaceae.
GGGGCUGACCGGUUUCGACGUCAGUAUCGCUUGGGCGAAUCUGCGACCCGAGUUGCUCAGACUCGAGAAACGGGGCAACCAUAAGAAUUGCCGAUGAGCAGUUCGCUCUUGCCGCCUGAUUCAGGUGAGUAAAGAGUCAUCGUGACCAGAAAUGGCGCACGGGGCCGGUCCGCCGCAGCCCGGCAACAGAAGCGGAGGAUGACGACGAGAAAGACCGUUGACGGCGAGAAAGACCGCUGCCUCUUAGGAAAGACUGAGCGCUGAUCGCAAGAUCAAUCGACCCGCCGAUGAGCCGGCGUCAGGCUCUCAGACGGGAAUGGUCGUAGCGGGUCCGUUCACGGGCUGAUGGACGGGGGUUCGAUUCCCCCCAGCUCCACUC